RNAcentral lists this ribosomal RNA (460 nucleotides) under uncultured bacterium. Its description in RNAcentral is "partial 16S ribosomal RNA". It matches the Rfam family "Bacterial small subunit ribosomal RNA", at positions 338 to 795 of the family's 1533-position model. The record is from RNAcentral.
CCUACGGGUGGCAGCAGUGAGGAAUAUUGGUCAAUGGACGAGAGUCUGAACCAGCCAAGUAGCGUGAAGGAUGACUGCCCUAUGGGUUGUACACUUCUUUUAUAAAGGAAUAAAACGAGGCACGUGUGCCUUUUUGUAUGUACUUUAUGAAUAAGGAUCGGCUAACUCCGUGCCAGCAGCCGCGGUAAUACGGAGGAUCCGAGCGUUCUCCGGAUUUAUUGGGUUUAAAGGGAGCGUAGAUGGGUUGUUAAGUCAGUUGUGAAAGUUUGCGGCUCAACCGUAAAAUUGCAAUUGAUACUGGCAGUCGUGAGUACAGUUGAGGUAGGCGGAAUUCGUGGUGGAGCGGUGAAAUGCUUAGAUAUCACGAAGAACCCCGAUUGCGAAGGCAGCUUACUAAACUGUGACUGACAUUGAUGCUCGAAAGUGUGGGUAUCAAACAGGAGUAGAUACCCCUGUAGUC